RNAcentral lists this transfer RNA (96 nucleotides) under Halolamina pelagica. RNAcentral describes it as "tRNA-OTHER". Lineage: Archaea; Methanobacteriati; Methanobacteriota; Halobacteria; Halobacteriales; Haloferacaceae. The record is from RNAcentral.
UGACGAGGUAGGCGAGUCCGCGGCCCGCGGCGUCGACGACCGCCGCGGCUCGGGCGGGUCGCACGCGGCGAACCGGUUCGGUGUCGGGCUCGUCGA